Molecule: ribosomal RNA, 468 nt
Filed under: uncultured bacterium
Lineage: Bacteria
Description: partial 16S ribosomal RNA
Rfam family: Bacterial small subunit ribosomal RNA
Source: RNAcentral
GACGAACGCUGGCGGCGUGCUUAACACAUGCAAGUCGAACGGAAAGGCCCUGCUUUUGUGGGGUGCUCGAGUGGCGAACGGGUGAGUAACACGUGAGUAACCUGCCCUUGACUUUGGGAUAACUUCAGGAAACUGGGGCUAAUACCGGAUAGGAGCUCCUGCUGCAUGGUGGUGGUUGGAAAGUUUCGGCGUUUGGGGAUGGACUCGCGGCUUAUCAGCUUGUUGGUGGGGUAGUGGCUUACCAAGGCUUUGACGGGUAGCCGGCCUGAGAGGGUGACCGGCCACCUUGGGACUGAGAUACGGCCCAGACUCCUACGGGAGGCAGCAGUGGGGAAUAUUGCACAAUGGGCGGAAGCCUGAUGCAGCAACGCCGCGUGCGGGAUGACGGCCUUCGGGUUGUAAACCGCUUUCGCAUGUGACGAAGCGUGAGUGACGGUAAUGGGUAAAGAAGCACCGGCUAACUACGUG